Long non-coding RNA from Homo sapiens (human), 176 nucleotides. RefSeq lists it as uncharacterized. NCBI's taxonomy places the organism in Eukaryota, Metazoa, Chordata, Mammalia, Primates, Hominidae. The record is from RefSeq and is marked validated. The transcript has 2 exons.
CCACCCCAGGAGCUGGGAUUACGGGUGUCUGCCAUCACCCCUGGGUGAGCACACAGCAAGAAGGUAGCUGUCUGCAAGCUGGGAAGAGAGACCUAACCAAAACUUAACCACGCUGGCACCCUGAUCUCAGAAACUCAGUCUCCAGAACUGUGAGAAAAUAAAUGUCUGUUGUUUAA